CCUACGGGUGGCAGCAGUGAGGAAUAUUGGUCAAUGGGCGGGAGCCUGAACCAGCCAAGUCGCGUGAAGGAAGAAGGUACUUAGUAUUGUAAACUUCUUUUGUCGGGGAACAAAGGCGGAGACGCGUCUCCGGUUGAGUGUACCCGAAGAAAAAGCAUCGGCUAACUCCGUGCCAGCAGCCGCGGUAAUACGGAGGAUGCGAGCGUUAUCCGGAUUUAUUGGGUUUAAAGGGUGCGUAGGCGGGGAGAUAAGGUAGCGGUAAAAGUGCGGGGACUAACCCCGGCACGGCCGUUGAAACUGGUUGUCUAGAGUUGGGGAGAGGUAUGCGGAAUUCGUGGUGUAGCGGUGAAAUGCAUAGAUAUCACGAAGAACUCCGAUUGCGAAGGCAGCAUACUGG
Molecule: ribosomal RNA, 397 nt
Filed under: uncultured bacterium
Lineage: Bacteria
Description: partial 16S ribosomal RNA
Rfam family: Bacterial small subunit ribosomal RNA
Source: RNAcentral